CCUACGGGGGGCAGCAGUGAGGAAUUUUGGUCAAUGGUCGGGAGACUGAACCAGCCAAGCCGCGUGAGGGAUGAAGGUACAGAGUAUCGUAAACCUCUUUUGUCAGGGAACAAAGGCGGGGACGUGUCCCCGGAUGAGUGUACCUGAAGAAACAGCAUCGGCUAACUCCGUGCCAGCAGCCGCGGUAAUACGGGGGAUGCGAGCGUUAUCGGGAUUUAUUGGGUUUAAAGGGUGCGCGGGCGGUCUGUUAAGUCAGCGGUAAAAGCCCGGGGCUCAACCCGGGCCCGCCGUUGAAACUGGCAGUCUCGAGUUGGAGGGAGGUAUGCGGAAUGCGCGGUGUAGCGGUGAAAUGCAUAGAUAUCGCGCAGAACUCCGAUUGCGAAGGCAGCAUGCCGGCUCCACACUGACGCUGAGGCACGAAAGCGUGGGUAUCGAACAGGAUUAGAUACCCGAGUAGUC
This 459-nucleotide ribosomal RNA is filed under the name uncultured bacterium. RNAcentral describes it as "partial 16S ribosomal RNA". It matches the Rfam family "Bacterial small subunit ribosomal RNA", at positions 338 to 795 of the family's 1533-position model. The record is from RNAcentral.